CAAAACCUUUGGCCUGUAAUCCUUAAAUUCCAUGCUGUGAGUUCUGCUGUUGAGUUCUGCAGAUGGGAAAACAGAAUUUUAGAAAAUUUAAGUAACGUACCUGAACUUUCACCACCAGGACAUCUGACAAUGUCUGAAGACAGAUUUGCUCAUCAUAACUAGAAUCUAGCGGGUAGAUGCCAGAAAUGCUGACCAUCCUACAGUGCACAGGACAGCCCCACCACAAACAAGCCAGCAGUGCUGAGGUUGAGAAGCUUUGCCUUAAUCAUAAGGAAGAGAACAUUUUAAUGAAUGCUCUCAGAAAAUGGGAUCCGAGUAAAUAUGGCAGCUUGACCAUCUUCACCAGUAGAGGCCAUACUGCCCCUGGAAAGACUCCGCCCUGUGAAGCUUAAAAAGUACCCUAAAAAUUCUGCAGUGGAAAAAGACCUGGCCCAGAGUCAGAAAGCAAGAUUGCAAGGUCAAGUAUGGCCACUGAGAACUGUGUGAUUGCAUCUGUAAAGCAGGAUAUUGACAGACAAAGGCCUUUGAUGUGGGGAAAGACCAUUGUCUUUACUACUGAUGCCUCCAAAGAAGAUACGGCCAUUGUCUAUUCUCUCCAUGUUCUUUGUGCAUCAAAGAUGCAAUCUGAAAUGGAAACCACAAAGCCAAGGUAGCAAGAAACAGCAUGGUGUAAUGGAAGGAGCACUGGUCCAGAGUCAGGAGACCUGGCGUCCAGUAUGUGCUGCACCUGUCUCACUGAUGGGCAUCACACAGCAUCCCUUCUGUUCUCUGGGCCUCAGUUUCCUCAUUUGCUAAGAAAGCAAUCUGGCUCAAAAUUUCUGAAGACUUAUUCGAUUUGGACAAACUGGCUUAAAGACCCAUGACAAUGCGAAAGACUUUUCCCAUCCAAAAUUAAAAUUAAAAUUAAGCCUUUAAAUGCAAUUUUUGGCUAACUCGUAAAAUUCACAUAAAUGUAUUACCAUCCAGGUGUUACAAGACUUCCAUAACUACCAUUGUUAUGGACACAAAACAAUAUACUCUCUGAGCUGAAUGAAUCAAGAUUUUAUUAAUCAGUCCCUAAUUGUUGCACAUUUUGUUUCUUAGAAGAUAUUUUGGGGAGUCAACUCAGCUCAAAAGAAAAUCCCCCUUCAAUGAGAGCUUUCUCAUCCCCAUCAUCCAUAAGGAAGAGCCCUCUGGCAUUCCUUGCUUUUGCCAAGUAACCAGAACUUCCUGACUACAGUUGAUUGGUCCAGGGAUGAACCCCAACUUUAAAUGUGUCAAUCAGAUCAUCUCUUCUUCGAAUAGGAGUUGGAUCAUGUGCCAAUAUGUAAGCCAAUCAGGUGGAUGGAGUGAGAGGGAAAGUAUCCUGGUAGGCUAUUACUUGGUGACAAGCCCACCACUCUGAAGCCAUGGUGGUGAGGAAGCGAAAGGCAACGUUGCCAAGCCACCCAAUCUAAGCAAGAGUAUUAUGGAGUUGGAGGGGUGGGGGUUAUUUACAAAGAGAAACCUAAAAUCGGGGGUGGGCAGCAAGGCAAAAAUUGAUUAUUUUUCUAUGUCUUUUUAUAACAAACCCAGAGCCAGAGAGGAACUACCUUGGAUCAAUUCCUAUGACUUCCAUUGUUAUCUUAGAUGUGAACUUUGAUUCUUAAUUUGGCAUAUUACCUUGUUAAUCAAUGACUGAACUCAAUCGAUCAACACACUACAUGUGCAUAUGUGUAUGUGCAUGAGUGUGUGUGCAUCUGAGUAUGUAUAUAUGUGUGGGGGGGUGGGUGUGGAUGUGGGUGUGUCUUUAAUGCAGACACAAAGCACCAUCUCCAAAUUCUGAUCUUGUGGGUCUAGAACAGGGCCGAGGAAACUGAAUUUUACUAAAGCUUUCCUUCCACUCCAGGUGAUUUUGACACCUAACUACAGUUUGGAAUACAUUGCUGCUGAUCACUGGGACCUGUUGAAGAUAGCGAUGCUCUCGAUGACAGAUGGAUCCGUACCAAAGGCAUGAUGGAGAGCAGUGUGACCCUGUGCUGCCACUAGCUUGAAAUAUCCACUCGGUGAAAGGCUGAACAGUGAUAGGACACUUCUGGAAGGAUACACAAGAAACCGUGAGUUUCUCUGUAUCAAAGAAACUGGUGGCUGGGAGAUGUGAGGGGGAGCCAGUCACAUUUUACUGUUCAUCCCAUUUUCAUGUGUUUUGAAGUUUGUACCAGGUAUGUGUAUUGUUUUAUCAAACAAUCACUCAAGCAACUGUGCGUGUGUGUGUGUGUGUGUGUGUGUGUGUGUGUGUGUGUGUGUGUGUGUAAUGCCAGCACCAGACCCCAUCCACAAAUCCUGAAUCUGAGAGUAUGGGGCUGAAAGGGCAGUGACAGGAGUGAGAAGGGGCUUGGGCCAGGUGCUGUGAGGAGAUGGCUGCUCCUCGGGGCUAAAGUGGAUCCCCUGGGCGCCAUGGUUCAUCCCUGUAAUUCUGGCACUUUGGGAGGCUGAGGCAGGUGUAUCACUUGAGGUCACUUGAGGUCAGGAGUUUGAGACCAGCCUGGCCAAUGUGGUAAAACCCCAUCUCCACCAAAAAAAUACAAAAAUUAGCUGGGCGUGGUGGCAGGCACUUGUAGUCCCAGCUACUUGGGAGGCUGAGGCACGAUAAUUGCUUGAACCCAGGAGGUGGAGGUUGCAGUGAGCUGAGAUCGCACCACUGAACUCCAGCCUGGGUGACAGAGUGAGUCCCUGUCCCAAAAAAUAAUAAUAAUAACAAUAAUAAAAUUAAAGUGGAUCCCCUGAACAUUUUCCUGUGGAGGCCUUGAGGCCUGGUGUGGCUGUAUGUGCAGUAAGGAAGUAAUUAAGAUUAAACGAGGUUGUGAGGGUGGAGCCCUGGUCCCACAGGAUUAGUGUCCUUAUAAGAGGAGACAUCAGAGAUGGAGGGUGGUCUCUCUCUUUCACCUGUAUGAGAACACAGCAAGAAGACUGAAACCCAGGAAGUGGCCCUCACCAGAAACCAACUAGGCCAGCCCCUCGACCUUAGAGUUCCAGCCCAGAAUGAUGAAAAAUAAAUGCUUUCCUCAGUCCCUAGU
Molecule: long non-coding RNA, 3035 nt
Filed under: Homo sapiens (human)
Lineage: Eukaryota; Metazoa; Chordata; Mammalia; Primates; Hominidae
Description: HSALNT0215457
Source: RNAcentral